UGGGGAAUAUUGCACAAUGGGCGCAAGCCUGAUGCAGCCACCCGUAGGAUGCAUGUAUGAAGAAGGCCUUCGGGUUGUAAAGUACUUUCAGCGGGGAGGAAGGUGUUGUGGUUAAUAACCUCAGCAAUUGACGUUACCCGCAGAAGAAGCACCGGCUAACUCCGUGCCAGCAGCCGCGGUAAUACGGAGGGUGCAAGCGUUAAUCGGAAUUACUGGGCGUAAAGCGCACGCAGGCGGUUUGUCAAGUCGGAUGUGAAAUCCCCGGGCUCAACCUGGGAACUGCAUCCGAAACUGGCAGGCUUGAGUCUUGUAGAGGGGGGUAGAAUUCCAGGUGUAGCGGUGAAAUGCGUAGAGAUCUGGAGGAAUACCGGUGGCGAAGGCGGCCCCCUGGACAAAGACUGACGCUCAGGUGCGAAAGCGUGGGGAGCAAACA
RNAcentral lists this ribosomal RNA (433 nucleotides) under uncultured bacterium. RNAcentral's name for it is "partial 16S ribosomal RNA". It matches the Rfam family "Bacterial small subunit ribosomal RNA", at positions 355 to 774 of the family's 1533-position model. The record is from RNAcentral.